Molecule: non-coding RNA, 1960 nt
Organism: Nicotiana tabacum (common tobacco)
Lineage: Eukaryota; Viridiplantae; Streptophyta; Magnoliopsida; Solanales; Solanaceae
Source: RefSeq, a predicted model, not a curated record
UCUUUUCCAUUCUCCAGCCCUUUUCAUCCUUCCCAUUGUGGUGGCUGGGAACACUUUUUUGAACAUGCAAGUGGAUUUAUGCUUGAAAUUGACUUGGUUCGCUGCGUUACAGUGGGAUAUAUUUGUUCACACCCAAAAUCCAUCACCGGUUCCUCCAUCAUGCAUGUUCUAGCUAUGGCGUGACAUACAGAGUGGAAGUUAAGAUGUUUUCUCUAAUUAUUUGAUGUAUUCGGUAUUGUUGCUUUGUUUUGGAAUGAACUUAGUGGUGAGCAUACUGCAUUUUUUUGUGAGUUUCAUUGCAAAUCCCGCAUAUUAAUCUUUUUACAGUAUCAGACUACACUGAUAAAAUGUUAGGAGUUAGGUCACAGUAGUGUUUAUUCAGACUAUUAAUUGAUUAAGUUCUCGCAGGUAACCUAACCUUUUGUUUUAUAGACGUUAUUGCUGUUACUUACUGAAUUCUGCCUCUCAGCACUUAAUUUUUCCAGAGGAGUUUGAAAAAUUUAUGGAACUCUUACAUGGUGAACGUUUUCCUCUGUUCAUCUGAUGUUGCUUGGAUGUGCAAAUAUGGAUAUACUUUUUGAGCAUUUAGUUUCCUUUUAUCUUUUCAGGUUCGGACGAUCUAACAGCAAGGAGCUGAAAGGAGCUAUCAUUGUUUUAGAAUAAUACACAUAAUCUAUUUUACCUAAAUUUAAGGUUUAAGAUAAACUGGUACAAAUUGCACUGUGAUAUGUCGAUUUCUCGCUUUAUCAAAUGUUGAAUUUGCAAAUUGUUGUGGUCGUUCCUAUUACAAAUAUUGGCUGGGUUUAUUUAUAUCCUAAUGAUCUUUUAGGAAAAAAUACACAACUCUGUUAGUAUUCUUCUUUAAGGCAAUAGCUGAUGGACGAGAUAACUCAAUUAGAUUUGUUACAAAUGUUGUUUUCAACUAAUACUUAUCUAUUUGCCAUUUUAUAUGAGAAUUACAACUAUAUGCUAUUCCGCGAAGCACCAAGGAAGAAAAGGCCAGAGCUCAUAUAUCAGAAAGUGCUACUAUAACUCGAACCAUUUUCCGAAGACAUGACUUAAAAUAAAGGGGGAGGAAGUUUGUCGUGGCUCAAGUUGGAUGGUUCUGGGCUGGGUAAUCACUCCAGUUACUUUAACUUUGUGAGAAAUGGCAUCAGACUGACUACAAUGCAGGCUGGUGUAAAGAGAACAACUUACAGAUUCAUCCAUCGUCUGUGCUAAAUAAAAGCAAAUGAGGACGAGAUGCUUCUAACUAUGUCGUCUAUCAUGAAGUAAUAGUUAUAUUACUUUCACUUAUGCAUAAUGUAUUUGUAGUUGAGAUACCAUUGUUGAUUGUUCAUGCCAAUCUUACCGGAGCUUGAGAAAAUAAAUGUAUUUAAACUGAGGGAAAUACCAUAUGCUUGAGAAUUGAGGUAAUUUACCUCUAUUAUCCUUUCUAUUUUGCUUGAGCAUUUCUUGUGCAUGACACAGUGGGGGAUUCAGCCAGCCUGAUAAGCAAAUUCAAGAAGUAACUUCAAACGUGGAAAAUAAAGAAACCAUAACAACUCAGCCACUGGAAGAUCAUGAAUUCGUGAUUGGUCUAUAUGUGCUUCAUCCGGUUCUUCUGCAAAUUUUCGCUGCUCGGAUGGAACGAUAGUGUAAACCAAGUCUUAAGCUUUAAGCUUUAUGACGGGGAGGAUGCUAUUCUUCUGCUUGAUGUAAAUGUGAUUCAUUAGUCGCGCCAAUCGGUGUGUCUAAAGAAUGAUCAGGUGAAUUCUUGAUUUCAACUUCUACAAAGAAGAGAGUAGCAAUUGAGUGUUUUAAAUGUUUCAGAAGCUGCUUUUCAGUGCUCAACCUAAUCUUACUGAAGACCUUUAUAGAUGGUUUCCCAUUUGCUUUUCUUAACUGUGAAGCAGUUGAUUUACUUUGUCAAAUUUCAGUCCGCAAUGAGGAAGAUAUAGAUCAAGAAUCUAUUAACAUA